GACGAACCGUGCGAACGUUGUUCGGAUUCACUGGGCUUAAAGGGCGCGUAGGCGGGCGGUCAAGUCGGGGGUGAAAUCUUUCAGCUUAACUGGAAAAGUGCCUCCGAUACUGAUCGUCUUGAGGGAGGUAGGGGCAUGUGGAACUUCCGGUGGAGCGGUGAAAUGCGUAGAUAUCGGAAGGAACGCCGGUGGCGAAAGCGACGUGCUGGACCUCUUCUGACGCUGAGGCGCGAAAGCUAGGGGAGCAAACGGG
RNAcentral lists this ribosomal RNA (253 nucleotides) under uncultured bacterium. Its description in RNAcentral is "partial 16S ribosomal RNA". It matches the Rfam family "Bacterial small subunit ribosomal RNA", at positions 524 to 776 of the family's 1533-position model. The record is from RNAcentral.